UGGCUCAGGAUGAACGCUAGCUACAGGCUUAACACAUGCAAGUCGAGGGGCAGCAUUUUAGUUUGCUUGCAAACUAAAGAUGGCGACCGGCGCACGGGUGAGUAACACGUAUCCAACCUGCCGAUAACUCGGGGAUAGCCUUUCGAAAGAAAGAUUAAUAUCCGAUGGUAUAUUAAAACCGCAUGGUUUUACUAUUAAAGAAUUUCGGUUAUUGAUGGGGAUGCGUUCCAUUAGUUUGUUGGCGGGGUAACGGCCCACCAAGACUACGAUGGAUAGGGGUUCUGAGAGGAAGGUCCCCCACAUUGGAACUGAGACACGGUCCAAACUCCUACGGGAGGCAGCAGUGAGGAAUGUUGGUCAAUGGACGAGAGUCUGAACCAGCCAAGUAGCGUGAAGGAUGACUGCCCUAUGGGUUGUAAACUUCUUUUAUAUGGGAAUAAAGUAUUCCACGUGUGGGAUUUUGUAUGUACCAUAUGAAUAAGGAUCGGCUAACUCCGUGCCAGCAGCCGCGGUAAUACGGAGGAUCCGAGCGUUAUCCGGAUUUAUUGGGUUUAAAGGGAGCGUAGGUGGAUUGUUAAGUCAGUUGUGAAAGUUUGCGGCUCAACCGUAAAAUUGCAGUUGAAACUGGCAGUCUUGAGUACAGUAGAGGUGGGCGGAAUUCGUGGUGUAGCGGUGAAAUGCUUAGAUAUCACGAAGAACUCCGAUUGCGAAGGCAGCUCACUAGACUGCAACUGACACUGAUGCUCGAAAGUGUGGGUAUCAAACAGGAUUAGAUACCCUGGUAGUCCACACAGUAAACGAUGAAUACCCGCUGUUUGCGAUAUACAGUAAGCGGCCAAGCGAAAGCAUUAAGUAUUCCACCUGGGGAGUACGCCGGCAACGGUGAAACUCAAAGGAAUUGACGGGGGCCCGCACAAGCGGAGGAACAUGUGGUUUAAUUCGAUGAUACGCGAGGAACCUUACCCGGGCUUAAAUUGCAUUUGAAUAAUCUGGAAACAGGUUAGCCGCAAGGCAAAUGUGAAGGUGCUGCAUGGUUGUCGUCAGCUCGUGCCGUGAGGUGUCGGCUUAAGUGCCAUAACGAGCGCAACCCUUAUCUUUAGUUACUAACAGGUCAUGCUGAGGACUCUAGAGAGACUGCCGUCGUAAGAUGUGAGGAAGGUGGGGAUGACGUCAAAUCAGCACGGCCCUUACGUCCGGGGCUACACACGUGUUACAAUGGGGGGUACAGAAGGCAGCUACCUGGCGACAGGAUGCUAAUCCCAAAAACCUCUCUCAGUUCGGAUCGAAGUCUGCAACCCGACUUCGUGAAGCUGGAUUCGCUAGUAAUCGCGCAUCAGCCGUGGCGCGGUGAAUACGUUCCCGGGCCUUGUACACACCGCCCGUCAAGCCAUGAAAGCCGGGGGUACCUGAAGUACGUAACCGCAAGGAGCGUCCUAGGGUAAAACUGGU
This 1449-nucleotide ribosomal RNA is filed under the name uncultured organism. RNAcentral's name for it is "16S ribosomal RNA". It matches the Rfam family "Bacterial small subunit ribosomal RNA". The record is from RNAcentral.